AUGGCGCGCUGUUUCUACUUCGCCCUUCUCAUCCUCUCGUCUCCCGUAGCGGAGAUGGUUUAGGGUUUCGGUUUGGAGAUGGCGCUGAGCAGCUUCAUCGUGACGGUGGUGGGCGUCGGCGCCACCAUCCUCCUCCCCGGGGACGUCAAGCGGUCCGCGGCCAUUCUCCGCCACGCCUGACACUGGCUCGAAGAAGAGUCCGCCUCUGCCUCCAAGAUCUGCAAUUGGUGAUGUUGGCUUAUUUUAUGCCCAAAUAAUUCAGGUUCUUCUGUUGAUCACUGUUUAGGGAUUUUGUGCUGCGACUUCAGUUUGUGACAACUUCUAUAGUGACCUGAUUAUUACUUUAGUUACACAUGAGAUAAGAUUCUCUGAGAAAAAAAAAAAAGGGUGCAAAUGAUGGAACGGAAUUUAAAUUGUUGGCACACAUCAUGUUUGAUGAGAUCAUUAUCCAGUUUUCCAGGUUGUCAACAAGUCUGUUGAAGCUAAAAGAAGUUAUAGUACCAUAACUCUGUGUUACCCGUAGUUGUUCAUGCCCUAGCAGUGAUUAAUAUUUUUGAAUUGCCGUAUGAAGAUGGACAGUUGGAAAACAAAAUGAGUAAAAAAUUGUAGAAAAGCAAAAAGAGAUGGAUGCCAUAUGAAAGAUGCCUUUUUCUUAAUUGGGGAAUGCUGUUCCCUUGGAAUGCUCCUAAAUAUGUAACAUAUGCUAGGCUAUCUACAUUCCUGUAGUUCUUAUUGUUUUCGUGCAAAAUUGCUGCAAACAGGAAGUAGUAUUGUGCA
Long non-coding RNA from Musa acuminata AAA Group (dessert banana), 777 nucleotides. RefSeq lists it as uncharacterized. The record is from RefSeq and is a predicted model, not a curated record. The transcript is spliced from 2 exons. NCBI's taxonomy places the organism in Eukaryota, Viridiplantae, Streptophyta, Magnoliopsida, Zingiberales, Musaceae.